Molecule: long non-coding RNA, 741 nt
Filed under: Equus asinus (donkey)
Lineage: Eukaryota; Metazoa; Chordata; Mammalia; Perissodactyla; Equidae
Description: lncRNA (ENSEASG00005036779.1)
Source: RNAcentral
GGCGACGCCCGGGUGCUGGUCGGCGGUCGGAACAAAUCCGGACCUGACCUCGCGGUUGCCCUGGCCAAGAGAGUGGCCGAGAGGGCGCCUUGCGACGGGGGCUGGGAGGACAGCGGGAGAGCGAGGGCGCGGGGCGGCCUGCCGCGUCCUGCGUCGCAGACACAGCCCGGCGGCGACGUACGGGAGCAGGCCGUUCCCACAAGGAGCAGAUGGCCUGUGGCACGGUCUCCUGCUCUAGGGGACCGCAGGCCCGUCGGGCCGAUGGCCUCGCGGGCGCCGACCCGCGCGUUCCUGACUGACUGGCUUAAGACCCGCUUGUGGGAGAGCCGACGCCGCAGUGACGUCUGGUGUGGCGACGCGAGCUUCGCGCGGCGACUCGCUUGGCCUGUCGCCUUGUUUUAACAGAACCUGGAGGCUGCUCCUCGUUUCAGGACUGUCUUUAGAAAUGCUGACAGUAAAGCCAGAAGCUACCAUACUGCAAAAUGACCUCACGGAAACUUGGUGUGGACCCUGGUGCUUAGGACCCAGGCUUUCAAAAUGAGGAAACAUCUUUGUCUUUCUCUUCUUUGUUCCAAGGAGAUUUCCCCCACCUCCUCUUGCUGGUCCUCGGCUCUCUGGUUUGGGGGGAACUUGUCAUUGGAAACAGCAGCUGUGGAGGUGAUAACGCAGAAUGACACUCCUGAGCAGUCUCUCCUUCAGUUGCUUCUCCUUGUUCUCCGUGGUCUACUUCUCUAGAAAAAC